Molecule: ribosomal RNA, 254 nt
Filed under: uncultured bacterium
Lineage: Bacteria
Description: partial 16S ribosomal RNA
Rfam family: Bacterial small subunit ribosomal RNA
Source: RNAcentral
UACGUAGGGUGCAAGCGUUGUCCGGAAUUAUUGGGCGUAAAGAGCUCGUAGGCGGUCUGUCGCGUCGGCUGUGAAAACCUGGGGCUCAACCCCGGGCUUGCAGCCGAUACGGGCAGACUAGAAUUCGGUAGGGGGAGACUGGAAUUCCUGGUGUAGCGGUGAAAUGCGCAGAUAUCAGGAGGAACACCGGUGGCGAAGGCGGGUCUCUGGGACGGUACUGACGCUGAGACGCGAAAGCGUGGGGAGCGAACAGG